RNAcentral lists this ribosomal RNA (582 nucleotides) under uncultured Actinomycetes bacterium. RNAcentral's name for it is "bacterial SSU rRNA". It matches the Rfam family "Bacterial small subunit ribosomal RNA", at positions 338 to 934 of the family's 1533-position model. The record is from RNAcentral. Lineage: Bacteria; Bacillati; Actinomycetota; Actinomycetes.
CCUACGGGAGGCAGCAGUGGGGAAUCUUGCGCAAUGGGCGAAAGCCUGACGCAGCAACGCCGCGUGCGGGAUGACGGCCUUCGGGUUGUAAACCGCUUUCAGUGGGGACGAACCAAGACGGUACCCACAGAAGAAGCCCCGGCCAACUACGUGCCAGCAGCCGCGGUAACACGUAGGGGGCAAGCGUUGUCCGGAUUCAUUGGGCGUAAAGAGCUCGUAGGCGGUUCGAUAAGUCGGGUGUGAAACCUCCAGGCUCAACCUGGAGACGCCACCCGAUACUGUCGUGACUAGAGUCCAGUAGGGGAGCGUGGAAUUCCUGGUGUAGCGGUGAAAUGCGCAGAUAUCAGGAGGAACACCAGCGGCGAAGGCGGCGCUCUGGGCUGGAACUGACGCUGAGGAGCGAAAGCGUGGGGAGCGAACAGGAUUAGAUACCCUGGUAGUCCACGCCGUAAACGUUGGGUACUAGGUGUGGGGUCUUAUCAACGGAUUCCGUGCCGCAGCUAACGCAUUAAGUACCCCGCCUGGGGAGUACGGCCGCAAGGCUAAAACUCAAAGGAAUGACGGAAUCGUCGACCUGCNNNC